RNAcentral lists this ribosomal RNA (638 nucleotides) under Purpureocillium lilacinum. RNAcentral's name for it is "eukaryotic LSU rRNA". The stretch from base 231 to 384 matches the Rfam family "5.8S ribosomal RNA". The record is from RNAcentral. Lineage: Eukaryota; Fungi; Ascomycota; Sordariomycetes; Hypocreales; Ophiocordycipitaceae.
UGACGGGUAGGCUCUCGUUGGUGACCAGCGGAGGGUCAUUACCGAGUUAUACAACUCCCAAACCCACUGUGAACCUUACCUCAGUUGCCUCGGCGGGAACGCCCCGGCCGCCUGCCCCCGCGCCGGCGCCGGACCCAGGCGCCCGCCGCAGGGACCCCAAACUCUCUUGCAUUACGCCCAGCGGGCGGAAUUUCUUCUCUGAGUUGCACAAGCAAAAACAAAUGAAUCAAAACUUUCAACAACGGAUCUCUUGGUUCUGGCAUCGAUGAAGAACGCAGCGAAAUGCGAUAAGUAAUGUGAAUUGCAGAAUUCAGUGAAUCAUCGAAUCUUUGAACGCACAUUGCGCCCGCCAGCAUUCUGGCGGGCAUGCCUGUUCGAGCGUCAUUUCAACCCUCGAGCCCCCCCGGGGGCCUCGGUGUUGGGGGACGGCACACCAGCCGCCCCCGAAAUGCAGUGGCGACCCCGCCGCAGCCUCCCCUGCGUAGUAGCACACACCUCGCACCGGAGCGCGGAGGCGGUCACGCCGUAAAACGCCCAACUUUCUUAGAGUUGACCUCGGAUCAGGUAGGAAUACCCGCUGAACUUAAGCAUAUCAAUAAGCGGAGGAAAAGAAACCAACAGGGAUUGCCCCGUAAACG